Manacus vitellinus (golden-collared manakin) is the source of this 676-nucleotide long non-coding RNA. RefSeq lists it as uncharacterized. NCBI's taxonomy places the organism in Eukaryota, Metazoa, Chordata, Aves, Passeriformes, Pipridae. The transcript has 3 exons. The record is from RefSeq and is a predicted model, not a curated record.
AAGGUGGAGACCGGGCACAGGGUGAUCUUAAUGAUCUUGAAGGUCUUUUCCAGGCUCGGUGAUUGUGGGAUCUGUGAGCCUCGGGCUCUCCCGGCUGGUGAGAGCGGGUGGGCGAGCACUCUCUCCAGCGACGUCAGCGCCGCUCCGCCGGCAGCCAGCGCUGGGGAGGGGGCGAGAGGCGCUUCUCGGGAAAGUACUUCCACACCCACCACGAACCCUCUGGGAUAGACGUGAUCUUUGCCACCUAAGAACGAAAGCUGAAUUUGCAGCAGCAGUAAUGCCCAAGCCACAUCUGGCUCGUGAUGCACAUGGGAUCAGACCGGGACUUUGGGAGGAGGAGGAUCUGGAUUCAGAGAUAUGAAAGGCGAAGCAGAGACAUCUGAUGGGGCUCCAGCGCUGACUCACUGUUUGAUGUGAGGCAGGAGGAGAGAUGUGAUCAGAUCCCUCUGUGCAGAGCAGCCACCAGACAACGCGUCACCGGGCAAAGAGACUCCUGCUCCUCCCAGCCCCUCAAACAGUGGAUCAGCCCUCACCAUCCCCUUCUCCUCCUGAGCUCUGCAGAGACCACCCAGCCAGCGCAGCACCCGGAUGUCACCUCUGAAAUGGCUCUUAGGUUGUGGACUCCCCAUCCCUGGCAGUGUCCAAGGCCAGGUUGGACGGGGCUUGGAGCAACCUG